RNAcentral lists this ribosomal RNA (373 nucleotides) under uncultured bacterium. Its description in RNAcentral is "bacterial SSU rRNA". It matches the Rfam family "Bacterial small subunit ribosomal RNA", at positions 521 to 896 of the family's 1533-position model. The record is from RNAcentral.
UAAUACGUAGGUGGCAAGCGUUGUCCGGAUUUAUUGGGUUUAAAGGGUGCGUAGGCGGCCCUGUAAGUCAGUGCUGAAAUAUCCCGGCUUAACCGGGAGGGUGGCAUUGAUACUGCAGGGCUUGAGUAGAGUUGAGGUUGGCGGAAUUGACGGUGUAGCGGUGAAAUGCUUAGAUAUCGUCAAGAACACCUAUUGCGAAGGCAGCUAACUAAGCUCAAACUGACGCUGAGGCACGAAAGUGUGGGGAUCAAACAGGAUUAGAUACCCUGGUAGUCCACACUGUAAACGUUGAUUACUCGCUGUUUGCGAUACACAGCAAGCGGCUUAGCGAAAGCGAUAAGUAAUCCACCUGGGGAGUACGCCGGCAACGGUG